This 498-nucleotide ribosomal RNA is filed under the name Escherichia coli. Its description in RNAcentral is "partial 23S ribosomal RNA". It matches the Rfam family "Bacterial large subunit ribosomal RNA", at positions 1292 to 1785 of the family's 2925-position model. The record is from RNAcentral. Lineage: Bacteria; Pseudomonadati; Pseudomonadota; Gammaproteobacteria; Enterobacterales; Enterobacteriaceae.
GAAUGCUGACAUAAGUAACGAUAAAGCGGGUGAAAAGCCCGCUCGCCGGAAGACCAAGGGUUCCUGUCCAACGUUAAUCGGGGCAGGGUGAGUCGACCCCUAAGGCGAGGCCGAAAGGCGUAGUCGAUGGGAAACAGGUUAAUAUUCCUGUACUUGGUGUUACUGCGAAGGGGGGACGGAGAAGGCUAUGUUGGCCGGGCGACGGUUGUCCCGGUUUAAGCGUGUAGGCUGAUUUUCCAGGCAAAUCCGGAAAAUCAAGGCUGAGGCGUGAUGACGAGGCACUACGGUGCUGAAGCAACAAAUGCCCUGCUUCCAGGAAAAGCCUCUAAGCAUCAGGUAACAUCAAAUCGUACCCCAAACCGACACAGGUGGUCAGGUAGAGAAUACCAAGGCGCUUGAGAGAACUCGGGUGAAGGAACUAGGCAAAAUGGUGCCGUAACUUCGGGAGAAGGCACGCUGAUAUGUAGGUGAAGCGACUUGCUCGUGGAGCUGAAAUCA